This is an unclassified non-coding RNA of Chinchilla lanigera (long-tailed chinchilla), 142 nucleotides long. NCBI's taxonomy places the organism in Eukaryota, Metazoa, Chordata, Mammalia, Rodentia, Chinchillidae. The record is from Ensembl.
AAUUUCACACCUGGAUGUGCUCACUCAACCAAGAAUAUAGAGAAAGAGCUUCUGUCCUGAGACUCAGAAAAAUAUUCUCCUCUGCUUCGGUUCAGAAUAGAUUUCUAGACCCUGAUCAUUGCUUAAGAAGUAUUCACUGGGG